UACGUAGGGUGCAAGCGUUAAUCGGAAUUACUGGGCGUAAAGCGUGCGCAGGCGGUUGUGCAAGACAGAUGUGAAAUCCCCGGGCUCAACCUGGGAAUGGCAUUGGUGACUGCACGGCUAGAGUGUGUCAGAGGGGGGUAGAAUUCCACGUGUAGCAGUGAAAUGCGUAGAGAUGUGGAGGGAUACCGAUGGCGAAGGCAGCCCCCUGGGAUAACACUGACGCUCAUGCACGAAAGCGUGGGGAGCAAACAGG
This 253-nucleotide ribosomal RNA is filed under the name uncultured bacterium. RNAcentral describes it as "partial 16S ribosomal RNA". It matches the Rfam family "Bacterial small subunit ribosomal RNA", at positions 524 to 776 of the family's 1533-position model. The record is from RNAcentral.